RNAcentral lists this non-coding RNA (190 nucleotides) under Pongo abelii (Sumatran orangutan). The record is from RNAcentral. Lineage: Eukaryota; Metazoa; Chordata; Mammalia; Primates; Hominidae.
ACUUUGUUGAACGGAACUGGCCAAUAGUGCCCUUGACUCGGACUGAUGACGCAAGCAGACGUAAGGAAGGCGCAGCUCGCCCGCGCACCGGCUGGAGUGCAAUGGUGUGAUCUCAGCUCACUGCAAACUCCGCCUCCUGGGUUCAAGCAAUUCUCCUGCCUCAGCCUCCUGAGUAGCUGAUAUUACAGGC